GAUUAAAUGGCUGAAUUUUAGGCGAUAAAUUGUAAAUUUAUUUAUGAGAAUUAUUCUCUUUAAUCA
RNAcentral lists this transfer RNA (66 nucleotides) under Anopheles maverlius. RNAcentral describes it as "tRNA-Tyr". Lineage: Eukaryota; Metazoa; Arthropoda; Insecta; Diptera; Culicidae. The record is from RNAcentral.